UACGGAGGGGGCUAGCGUUUUUCGGAAUUACUGGGCGUAAAGCGCGCGUAGGCGGAUGUUCAAGUCGGGGGUGAAAUCCCGGGGCUCAACCCCGGAACUGCCUCCGAUACUGGACGUCUGGAGGACGGGAGAGGCGAGUGGAAUGCCGAGUGUAGAGGUGAAAUUCGUAGAUAUUCGGCGGAACACCCGUGGCGAAGGCGGCUCGCUGGUCCGUUUCUGACGCUGAGGCGCGAAAGCGUGGGGAGCAAACAGG
This 253-nucleotide ribosomal RNA is filed under the name uncultured bacterium. RNAcentral describes it as "partial 16S ribosomal RNA". It matches the Rfam family "Bacterial small subunit ribosomal RNA", at positions 524 to 776 of the family's 1533-position model. The record is from RNAcentral.